AUCACCCCAAAACUACUUCACUCCUAUUUUGAUCACUGAUAAAGACAUUGAACUGCGUUAGCUCCUUUGAAGCCAUUAAAUAACCCAUUAGAAGAGAGUAGAAACAUGUUGGUGUAGCUGCUAAUUGGUUCGCAGAGCAUUUGAUACAGACGUUGCUUUUGUUCCUUCUCUGUCACUUCAGUGGGGCUGUGACACACCACGAAGAGUACC
This 210-nucleotide long non-coding RNA is filed under the name Calidris pugnax (ruff). RNAcentral describes it as "lncRNA (ENSCPUG00000007809.1)". The record is from RNAcentral. Lineage: Eukaryota; Metazoa; Chordata; Aves; Charadriiformes; Scolopacidae.